This 464-nucleotide ribosomal RNA is filed under the name uncultured organism. RNAcentral's name for it is "partial 16S ribosomal RNA". It matches the Rfam family "Bacterial small subunit ribosomal RNA", at positions 335 to 796 of the family's 1533-position model. The record is from RNAcentral.
ACUCCUGCGGGAGGCAGCAGUGAGGAAUAUUGGACAGUGGGUGGAAGCCUGAUCCAGCCAUCCCGCGUGCAGGAAGACGGCCCUCUGGGUUGUAAACUGCUUUUAUCUGGGGAUAAACCUACUUACGUGUAAGUAGCUGAAGGUACCAGAAGAAUAAGCACCGGCUAACUCCGUGCCAGCAGCCGCGGUAAUACGGAGGGUGCAAGCGUUAUCCGGAUUUAUUGGGUUUAAAGGGUCCGUAGGCGGACUGAUAAGUCAGUGGUGAAAUCCGACAGCUUAACUGUCGAACUGCCAUUGAUACUGUUAGUCUUGAGUAAGGUUGAAGUGGCUGGAAUAAGUAGUGUAGCGGUGAAAUGCAUAGAUAUUACUUAGAACACCAAUUGCGAAGGCAGGUCACUAAGUCUUAACUGACGCUGAUGGACGAAAGCGUGGGGAGCGAACAGGAUUAGAAACCCGAGUAGUCC